GGGUUGUGAGGUUAAGCGACUAAGCGUACACGGUGGAUGCCCUGGCAGUCAGAGGCGAUGAAGGACGUGCUAAUCUGCGAUAAGCGUCGGUGAGGUGAUAUGAACCGUUAUAACCGGCGAUUUCCGAAUGGGGAAACCCAGUGUGUUUCGACACACUAUCAUUAACUGAAUCCAUAGGUUAAUGAGGCGAACCGGGGGAACUGAAACAUCUAAGUACCCCGAGGAAAAGAAAUCAACCGAGAUUCCCCCAGUAGCGGCGAGCGAACGGGGAGGAGCCCAGAGCCUGAAUCAGUGUGUGUGUUAGUGGAAGCGUCUGGAAAGGCGCGCGAUACAGGGUGACAGCCCCGUACACAAAAAUGCACAUGCUGUGAGCUCGAUGAGUAGGGCGGGACACGUGGUAUCCUGUCUGAAUAUGGGGGGACCAUCCUCCAAGGCUAAAUACUCCUGACUGACCGAUAGUGAACCAGUACCGUGAGGGAAAGGCGAAAAGAACCCCGGCGAGGGGAGUGAAAAAGAACCUGAAACCGUGUACGUACAAGCAGUGGGAGCCUCUUUAUGGGGUGACUGCGUACCUUUUGUAUAAUGGGUCAGCGACUUAUAUUCUGUAGCAAGGUUAACCGAAUAGGGGAGCCGAAGGGAAACCGAGUCUUAACUGGGCGUUAAGUUGCAGGGUAUAGACCCGAAACCCGGUGAUCUAGCCAUGGGCAGGUUGAAGGUUGGGUAACACUAACUGGAGGACCGAACCGACUAAUGUUGAAAAAUUAGCGGAUGACUUGUGGCUGGGGGUGAAAGGCCAAUCAAACCGGGAGAUAGCUGGUUCUCCCCGAAAGCUAUUUAGGUAGCGCCUCGUGAAUUCAUCUCCGGGGGUAGAGCACUGUUUCGGCAAGGGGGUCAUCCCGACUUACCAACCCGAUGCAAACUGCGAAUACCGGAGAAUGUUAUCACGGGAGACACACGGCGGGUGCUAACGUCCGUCGUGAAGAGGGAAACAACCCAGACCGCCAGCUAAGGUCCCAAAGUCAUGGUUAAGUGGGAAACGAUGUGGGAAGGCCCAGACAGCCAGGAUGUUGGCUUAGAAGCAGCCAUCAUUUAAAGAAAGCGUAAUAGCUCACUGGUCGAGUCGGCCUGCGCGGAAGAUGUAACGGGGCUAAACCAUGCACCGAAGCUGCGGCAGCGACACUAUGUGUUGUUGGGUAGGGGAGCGUUCUGUAAGCCUGUGAAGGUGUACUGUGAGGUAUGCUGGAGGUAUCAGAAGUGCGAAUGCUGACAUAAGUAACGAUAAAGCGGGUGAAAAGCCCGCUCGCCGGAAGACCAAGGGUUCCUGUCCAACGUUAAUCGGGGCAGGGUGAGUCGACCCCUAAGGCGAGGCCGAAAGGCGUAGUCGAUGGGAAACAGGUUAAUAUUCCUGUACUUGGUGUUACUGCGAAGGGGGGACGGAGAAGGCUAUGUUGGCCGGGCGACGGUUGUCCCGGUUUAAGCGUGUAGGCUGGUUUUCCAGGCAAAUCCGGAAAAUCAAGGCUGAGGCGUGAUGACGAGGCACUACGGUGCUGAAGCAACAAAUGCCCUGCUUCCAGGAAAAGCCUCUAAGCAUCAGGUAACAUCAAAUCGUACCCCAAACCGACACAGGUGGUCAGGUAGAGAAUACCAAGGCGCUUGAGAGAACUCGGGUGAAGGAACUAGGCAAAAUGGUGCCGUAACUUCGGGAGAAGGCACGCUGAUAUGUAGGUGAAGCGACUUGCUCGUGGAGCUGAAAUCAGUCGAAGAUACCAGCUGGCUGCAACUGUUUAUUAAAAACACAGCACUGUGCAAACACGAAAGUGGACGUAUACGGUGUGACGCCUGCCCGGUGCCGGAAGGUUAAUUGAUGGGGUUAGCGGUAACGCGAAGCUCUUGAUCGAAGCCCCGGUAAACGGCGGCCGUAACUAUAACGGUCCUAAGGUAGCGAAAUUCCUUGUCGGGUAAGUUCCGACCUGCACGAAUGGCGUAAUGAUGGCCAGGCUGUCUCCACCCGAGACUCAGUGAAAUUGAACUCGCUGUGAAGAUGCAGUGUACCCGCGGCAAGACGGAAAGACCCCGUGAACCUUUACUAUAGCUUGACACUGAACAUUGAGCCUUGAUGUGUAGGAUAGGUGGGAGGCUUUGAAGUGUGGACGCCAGUCUGCAUGGAGCCGGCCUUGAAAUACCACCCUUUAAUGUUUGAUGUUCUAACGUUGGCCCCUGAUCGGGGUUGCGGACAGUGUCUGGUGGGUAGUUUGACUGGGGCGGUCUCCUCCUAAAGAGUAACGGAGGAGCACGAAGGUUGGCUAAUCCUGGUCGGACAUCAGGAGGUUAGUGCAAUGGCAUAAGCCAGCUUGACUGCGAGCGUGACGGCGCGAGCAGGUGCGAAAGCAGGUCAUAGUGAUCCGGUGGUUCUGAAUGGAAGGGCCAUCGCUCAACGGAUAAAAGGUACUCCGGGGAUAACAGGCUGAUACCGCCCAAGAGUUCAUAUCGACGGCGGUGUUUGGCACCUCGAUGUCGGCUCAUCACAUCCUGGGGCUGAAGUAGGUCCCAAGGGUAUGGCUGUUCGCCAUUUAAAGUGGUACGCGAGCUGGGUUUAGAACGUCGUGAGACAGUUCGGUCCCUAUCUGCCGUGGGCGCUGGAGAACUGAGGGGGGCUGCUCCUAGUACGAGAGGACCGGAGUGGACGCAUCACUGGUGUUCGGGUUGUCAUGCCAAUGGCACUGCCCGGUAGCUAAAUGCGGAAGAGAUAAGUGCUGAAAGCAUCUAAGCACGAAACUUGCCCCGAGAUGAGUUCUCCCUGAGACUUAGAGUCUCCUGAAGGAACGUUGAAGACGACGACGUUGAUAGGCCGGGUGUGUAAGCGCAGCGAUGCGUUGAGCUAACCGGUACUAAUGAACCGUGAGGCUUAACCUUACAACGCCGAAG
RNAcentral lists this ribosomal RNA (2925 nucleotides) under Escherichia coli. Its description in RNAcentral is "23S ribosomal RNA". It matches the Rfam family "Bacterial large subunit ribosomal RNA". RNAcentral also lists the same sequence under 1 other name. Lineage: Bacteria; Pseudomonadati; Pseudomonadota; Gammaproteobacteria; Enterobacterales; Enterobacteriaceae. The record is from RNAcentral.